GACGAACGCUGGCGGCGUGCUUAACACAUGCAAGUCGAGCGGAAAGGCCACUUCAGUGGUACUCGAGCGGCGAACGGGUGAGUAACACGUGAGUAAUCUGCCCCUGGCUUUGGGAUAGCCACCGGAAACGGUGAUUAAUACCGGAUACGACCACUUCUCGCAUGGGAUGGUGGUGGAAAGUUUUUUCGGCCAGGGAUGUGCUCGCGGCCUAUCAGCUUGAUGGUGAGGUAAUGGCUCACCAUGGCUUCGACGGGUAGCCGGCCUGAGAGGGUGACCGGUCAAACUGGGACUGGGACACGGCCCAGACUGCUACGGGAGGCAGCAGUGGGGAAUAUUGGACAAUGGGCGGAAGCCUGAUCCAGCAACGCCGCGUGAGGGAUGACGGCCUUCGGGUUGUAAACCUCUUUCAGCAGGGACGAAGCGCAAGUGACGGUACCUGCAGAAGAAGCACCGGCCAACUACGUGCCAGCCGCCGCCGUAG
This 481-nucleotide ribosomal RNA is filed under the name uncultured bacterium. Its description in RNAcentral is "partial 16S ribosomal RNA". It matches the Rfam family "Bacterial small subunit ribosomal RNA", at positions 28 to 523 of the family's 1533-position model. The record is from RNAcentral.